This 210-nucleotide long non-coding RNA is filed under the name Medicago truncatula (barrel medic). RNAcentral's name for it is "long non-coding RNA (MTRU_LNC003917)". Lineage: Eukaryota; Viridiplantae; Streptophyta; Magnoliopsida; Fabales; Fabaceae. The record is from RNAcentral.
UCUUCGUAUGAGUAACUUGCAGGUGAUCGUUAGUAGGUUGCUGGUGUUGCUGUCGUGAGUGACUUAUUCCUCACUGAGUCUUAGGAUGCUCUGAUACGUAACGGGAUGAGAUCUUUUGUGGCUAUUUUCUAUUCCUUUACGUAUUGCUUAUGUUUUAAUAAGGCCUGUGUGCCAAAGACUUACUUAUGUUAAUGAAUUAAAUCCGCUGCU